GAUGAACGCUGGCGGCGUGCCUAAUACGUGCAAGUCGAGCGAACAGACGAGGAGCUUGCUCCUCUGACGUUAGCGGCGGACGGGUGAGUAACGCGUGGAUAACCUACCUAUAAGACUGGGAUAACUUCGGGAAACCGGAGCUAAUACCGGAUAAUAUAUUGAACCGCAUGGUUCAAUAGUGAAAGACGGUUUUGCUGUCACUUAUAGAUGGAUCCGCGCCGCAUUAGCUAGUUGGUAAGGUAACGGCUUACCAAGGCGACGAUGCGUAGCCGACCUGAGAGAGUGAUCGGCCACACUGGAACUGAGACACGGUCCAGACUCCUACGGGAGGCAGCAGUAGGGAAUCUUCCGCAAUGGGCGAAAGCCUGACGGAGCAACGCCGCGUGAGUGAUGAAGGUCUUCGGAUCGUAAAACUCUGUUAUUAGGGAAGAACAAAUGUGUAAGUAACUAUGCACGUCUUGACGGUACCUAAUCAGAAAGCCACGGCUAACUACGUG
Molecule: ribosomal RNA, 497 nt
Filed under: uncultured bacterium
Lineage: Bacteria
Description: partial 16S ribosomal RNA
Rfam family: Bacterial small subunit ribosomal RNA
Source: RNAcentral